CGGCCCGCGAGUGGGGCUGCGCUCGCGGCUGCUGUCUCGCUCCAGUCAGGGCUGGGGCUCACCCUGCGAGUCCGGGAGACUAAAGCGCCGCGUAAACACAGGAAGCAGGCGAGGGACCCGAGUUAGACCUUGAGUAGGGAGGGAGAGGGGGGCGACAGUCUGGACUGGGAGACAGCUUUCUGGGAGCCCUGUCCCCUCCCCGGAGAAUGCAAAUUCCGGAGGGAGCCCUCGAUGUCAGCAGGAGUCCGGGACAAUCCAAUACCAGGCGGGGCGCAGCGGAGGCUGGCAGGCACGCCCUGGGAGG
This 304-nucleotide long non-coding RNA is filed under the name Homo sapiens (human). Its description in RNAcentral is "HSALNT0125659". The record is from RNAcentral. Lineage: Eukaryota; Metazoa; Chordata; Mammalia; Primates; Hominidae.